GUGCAAAAAAGAAAGAGUCUUAAUUUGCACUCUAAAACCCUAAACCCUAAACUUGUGACACAUUCUUAAAACUCUGUGUACAAAUAUCAACAACUGAAUGACAGCUGCUACGUUCUAAGAACUUGCCCCGUAACACAACCCACCUUCUACCGUGAAACGAAGUUGCACAGAAGUAGCCCAGUGCAACUUUGCAUGGCAAAAUAAAGUUUGAAGCACCCCAAUGACGUCACAGUUGUCUUCUGUAGCUCAUCGGAGUUUAGACUAAAAAGCUUAAAAGUUGCAGCUCUGAUUCCUACCCGAUUCCUCUGAGAGUUGUAGGAACUCCCACGACCAUGCUCUGUGCA
Molecule: long non-coding RNA, 344 nt
Filed under: Physcomitrium patens
Lineage: Eukaryota; Viridiplantae; Streptophyta; Bryopsida; Funariales; Funariaceae
Description: long non-coding RNA (PPAT_LNC014914)
Source: RNAcentral